RNAcentral lists this microRNA (22 nucleotides) under Glycine max (soybean). RNAcentral's name for it is "gma-miR4397-3p". The record is from miRBase by way of RNAcentral. Lineage: Eukaryota; Viridiplantae; Streptophyta; Magnoliopsida; Fabales; Fabaceae.
UGUCAAAGAUGUGGCGAAUACU